UAAUGGUGGCCCGGGCGGGGCAGCCUUCGGGCUGGCCGGUACCCAUUGAGGCCGGUAUUCCUACCCCCGUCCGGGUCACCACCCA
This 85-nucleotide non-coding RNA is filed under the name Citrobacter gillenii. The record is from RNAcentral. Lineage: Bacteria; Pseudomonadati; Pseudomonadota; Gammaproteobacteria; Enterobacterales; Enterobacteriaceae.